AAGGAUCAUUAGUGAAUACUAGGACGUCCAAUUUAACUUGGAGUCCGAACUCUCACAUCUAACUCUGUGCAUUUGUUUUGGUUAGUAGGACGCAAGUCUGAACCCCUCUUCAUUUACAAACACUAAGUCUAUGAAUGUUUAAAUUUUAUAACAAAACAAAACUUUCAACAACGGAUCUCUUGGCUCUCGCAUCGAUGAAGAACGCAGCGAAAUGUGAUAAGUAAUGUGAAUUGCAGAAUUCAGUGAAUCAUCGAAUCUUUGAACGCAUCUUGCACUCUCUGGUAUUCCGGAGAGUAUGUCUGUUUGAGUGUCAUGAAUUCUUCAACCCUCCCUUUUCUUAGUGAAUUGAGAGGAGUUUGGAUUCUGAGUGUUGCUCCUUACCCGAGCUCAUUCGUAAUAUAUUAGCAUCCAUAUUCGAAUUUCGGAUUGACUUGGCGUAAUAGACUAUUCGCUGAGGAAUCUAACUUCGGUUAGAGCCGUAUUUGAAAAAGGAAGCUGCUAAUCUAGCAUAGUCUACUUUUAGAUUAGAUCUCAAAUCAGUCAG
RNAcentral lists this ribosomal RNA (544 nucleotides) under Rhodosporidiobolus aff. lusitaniae UCDFST 06-583. RNAcentral describes it as "eukaryotic LSU rRNA". The stretch from base 160 to 313 matches the Rfam family "5.8S ribosomal RNA". The record is from RNAcentral. Lineage: Eukaryota; Fungi; Basidiomycota; Microbotryomycetes; Sporidiobolales; Sporidiobolaceae.